RNAcentral lists this ribosomal RNA (497 nucleotides) under uncultured bacterium. Its description in RNAcentral is "partial 16S ribosomal RNA". It matches the Rfam family "Bacterial small subunit ribosomal RNA", at positions 28 to 507 of the family's 1533-position model. The record is from RNAcentral.
GACGAACGCUGGCGGCGUGCCUAAUACAUGCAAGUUGAGCGCUGAAGGUUGGUACUUGUACCAACUGGAUGAGCAGCGAACGGGUGAGUAACGCGUGGGGAAUCUGCCUUUGAGCGGGGGACAACAUUUGGAAACGAAUGCUAAUACCGCAUAAAAACUUUAAAAACAAGUUUUAAGUUUGAAAGAUGCAAUUGCAUCACUCAAAGAUGAUCCCGCGUUGUAUUAGCUAGUUGGUGAGGUAAAGGCUCACCAAGGCGAUGAUACAUAGCCGACCUGAGAGGGUGGUCGGCCACAUUGGGACUGAGACACGGCCCAAACUCCUACGGGAGGCAGCAGUAGGGAAUCUUCGGCAAUGGACGAAAGUCUGACCGAGCAACGCCGCGUGAGUGAAGAAGGUUUUCGGAUCGUAAAACUCUGUUGGUAGAGAAGAACGUUGGUGAGAGUGGAAAGCUCAUCAAGUGACGGUAACUACCCAGAAAGGGACGGCUAACUACGUG